ACUGUCAAAUAAGGGACAAACGAAGAGUUAAUGACAAGUGAAGACACAGCCUGGGGGUGAGUAUAUGGCGGUUGAUAGGCAGCGAAUCAUAAAACGAUUUACGGUUGUGUCGUGUCCCUCGCUUUAUAACC
Non-coding RNA from Caenorhabditis elegans, 131 nucleotides. NCBI's taxonomy places the organism in Eukaryota, Metazoa, Nematoda, Chromadorea, Rhabditida, Rhabditidae. The record is from Ensembl.